This 325-nucleotide ribosomal RNA is filed under the name uncultured eukaryote. Its description in RNAcentral is "partial 18S ribosomal RNA". It matches the Rfam family "Eukaryotic small subunit ribosomal RNA", at positions 1470 to 1796 of the family's 1831-position model. The record is from RNAcentral.
CCCUUAGAUGUUCUGGGCCGCACGCGCGCUACACUGAUGCAUUCAACGAGCCUAUCCUUGACCGACAGGUCCGGGUAAUCUUUGAAUCUGCAUCGUGCCGGGGAUAGAUUAUUGCAAUUAUUAAUCUUCAACGAGGAAUGCCUAGUAGGCGCAAGUCAUCAGCUUGCGUCGAUUACGUCCCUGCCCUUUGUACACACCGCCCGUCGCUCCUACCGAUUGGGUGUGCUGGUGAAAUGUUCGGAUCGGCCGUUUGUCGCGGUUUCCGCGUCAUGUGGCUGAGAAGUUCAUUAAACCCUCCCACCUAGAGGAAGGAGAAGUCGUAACA